This 384-nucleotide ribosomal RNA is filed under the name uncultured Leptolinea sp. RNAcentral's name for it is "bacterial SSU rRNA". It matches the Rfam family "Bacterial small subunit ribosomal RNA", at positions 985 to 1382 of the family's 1533-position model. The record is from RNAcentral. Lineage: Bacteria; Bacillati; Chloroflexota; Anaerolineae; Anaerolineales; Anaerolineaceae.
CAUGCAAGUGGUAGGAAGCCGAAAGGCGACCGACCCUUCGGGGAGCUUGCACAGGUGCUGCAUGGCUGUCGUCAGCUCGUGUCGUGAGAUGUUCGGUUAAGUCCGCUAACGAGCGCAACCCUCGCUGUGUGUUAUAUGUGUCACACGGGACUGCCGGUCUUAAGCCGGAGGAAGGUGGGGAUGAUGUCAAGUCAGCAUGGCCUUUAUAUCCUGGGCUACACACACGCUACAAUGGCCAACACAAUAGGUUGCUAAGCCGCGAGGUGGCGCCAAUCCAUAAAGUUGGUCUCAGUUCAGAUUGUAGGCUGCAACCCGCCUGCAUGAAGAUGGAGUUGCUAGUAACCGCAGGUCAGCUAUACUGCGGUGAAUACGUUCCCGGGGCUU